RNAcentral lists this transfer RNA (66 nucleotides) under Pseudomonadales bacterium. RNAcentral's name for it is "tRNA-Ser". Lineage: Bacteria; Pseudomonadati; Pseudomonadota; Gammaproteobacteria; Pseudomonadales. The record is from RNAcentral.
GAGCCCAUGAGCUCUUCUGCCCUCCGAAGGCAGGGGUCGUGGGUUCGAAUCCCACCGAGUGCGCCA